GACGAACGCUGGCGGCGUGCUUAACACAUGCAAGUCGAACGGUGAAGCGCCUUCCUUUUUGGUGGGUGUGGAUGAGUGGCGAACGGGUGAGUAACACGUGAGUAACCUGCCCCCUUCUUCUGGAUAACCGCAUGAAAGUGUGGCUAAUACGGGAUAUUCUGGGUCUGUCGCAUGAUGGGUCUGGGAAAGAUAUUGUUUCGGUGGGGGAUGGGCUCGCGGCCUAUCAGCUUGUUGGUGGGGUGAUGGCCUACCAAGGCGGUGACGGGUAGCCGGCCUGAGGGGGUGGACGGUCACACUGGGACUGAGACACGGCCCAGACUCCUACGAGAGGCAGCAGUGGGGAAUAUUGCACAAUGGGCGCAAGCCUGAUGCAGCGACGCCGCGUGAGGGAUGGAGGCCUUCGGGUUGUGAACCUCUUUCGCCAGUGAAGCAGGCCUGCCUCGUUUGUGGGUGGGUUGACGGUAGCUGGAUAAGAAGCGCCGGCUAACUACGUG
Molecule: ribosomal RNA, 494 nt
Filed under: uncultured bacterium
Lineage: Bacteria
Description: partial 16S ribosomal RNA
Rfam family: Bacterial small subunit ribosomal RNA
Source: RNAcentral